This is a long non-coding RNA of Oxyura jamaicensis (ruddy duck), 1382 nucleotides long. RefSeq lists it as uncharacterized. Lineage: Eukaryota; Metazoa; Chordata; Aves; Anseriformes; Anatidae. The transcript is spliced from 3 exons. The record is from RefSeq and is a predicted model, not a curated record.
UACACAUUGGAAAUCAUCUCUGUUCUGCUUUAUUCUCUGCUUUUUGCUCUUGGUCUUUCUCAGCUUUAAUUUUUAAAUAAGGAAGUCAGUCAGUAAUUACAGUCAGUUCUUCUGCAUCGACCUGCUUUACCUGUUCAGAGUUCAGUUUUUAUUAACAGAAGUUCUCAACAGUUUCAAGUGGCAUACAGACUUUCUUGAGAGAAAGUACCCCCAAGAUUAUCACGUACAGUGCACAGAGAGAUGCUCCUGAGCCUCAUUCUGGCUCCUGCUGUAGGUUUUGCACACUGGUAUAUCAAUUUGUAUUACAUCAGUUUGUAACAACCAUAAAUCUACCUGGGGAAAAGCAAGUCCUCCAAGACUGAAAAGCCUCUAGCGUGAGACUGGCCAUAUGGCCAUAUCCCAGGGAAGAAAACUCAUGCCACACCUGAAAUGUCACCCUAGCCAGCUUCUAUGUUAAGGAAGAGACACAAGAUGACAUAUGAGUAGUUUUCUUUCCUUUGAUAUCCUCUGUUAAGCAAAGCUCAGCCAAAGUCCAAGCCAAAACCUGUAGUUAAUCUUUUUUUUUUUAAAGUGAUUUUUGGGAGCCUUUUUUCUCAUUUACAUCCUAGCAAUGCUUUCUUUGUGUGUGAUGUUUUCCGUGUGACUGUUUCAAUUUUAUAAACACCUGAUUUGUUACCUCCAUCCCUGCAGCAUUUAUGGUUUGUUCUAAACUGCAUGCCUGGUUUAUAAAUGAAUUUUCUUAAUUAUCGCCAUUCCUGUUACUUCCUUUUAAUUAGACAGCAGAUUCUGUCUCAGACUUUCUGGUUGUUCAUCCUCCUGUGCACAGAUUUUAAAAAUCACUUUUUGAAAGUGGAAGGUUUAUUCUGUCUUUUCCUAGAAAGUCCUGUUGUGAGACAAUUUAGAACGUUUUGGCUUUGCUGAUUCACAUCAAUAGAUCCCUGACAAAGAAAACUGCAAGGAUAAAACUGUAUUUUUUACAUCCUGUAUGUCAUUUUUCCUACAUUUCAAAAAAUGGCAGGAGCGAUGUUCCAGGCACUGCUUCCAACCGUGUAUUCAACUACAAGGAUCUCAAACCAUGGUUGAUAGCAGCUGAGUGAGAUAAUUCAUACUGUAAAAAUUGGAAUUCAAUUGAAAAACCUGUCUGUGUCAGAAGGGACAAUUGUACAGGCAAGAAACAUUUUCAAAGGUGUUUGGAAGAGAUUUGAGGUAGUAUGCUGCACUGCUUCCCCUGAUCAAUACUAAGCAGUUCCAGAAGGAAUUCAGACCCCAAAACUCCAUCAAGCAAUGGUGGAGAGGAGGAGAAAGAAUGAGAAUCAAGUAGCCAGGAUGAUUAAUCAAGGUGGCUUGAUUUUAAUGCACAUUGGACAUGUAAACGCUGUACA